Hypomesus transpacificus is the source of this 2730-nucleotide long non-coding RNA. RefSeq lists it as uncharacterized. The record is from RefSeq and is a predicted model, not a curated record. NCBI's taxonomy places the organism in Eukaryota, Metazoa, Chordata, Actinopteri, Osmeriformes, Osmeridae. The transcript is spliced from 3 exons.
ACUAAGCAGACAUGGCUAAUUUUAGCGUCUUGUGCACUAAACAUUCUUAAAUGUCACUGGAUUCAUACAAGCAGAGAAGGCCAUAGAUUUAGAUGAUUCAACUGUAGACAACUCAUAUUGGAAUUUUGUCAACUGAUUUUUGCACUCAUAUUUUCUGUUAAUGUCUGUUGAUGUCUGUACUAAACUGACAAAGGUUUUAGUUUACAUUGAACUAGUUUUAGAAAAAUUGUAAACUGGUUAUGAAGAAAUACUUCAGAAGAUAUUUUCACUUGCUUAAGGUAACUUGAAGACCAUCAAAGGUAUUCCAACAACUCCAACUUGUGGCCAUUUAAAAAUAUUGUUUUUAUUUUACAUGUAGAUUAGAGUAGGAGUCCAGUACUUUUAGUUGAGAUUUAAAGUCAGACAAAGUAUGGAGUUUUUUAAGUUCACUACUUCCACCCAUAAAGAUUUGUCCAUUUGAGCAGGAAACAGCCUUUCCCUAGCAGGUGCCUGUGAGCCCGUUCGGAACCCACUGACUCAGUGUUGAAACAAUUUAACAGGUCGCUGAAACAAUGUGGCACUUGGCAAGAAUGCAUCCACUCACUGAGUCACUCCCUUCCAUUGUUUUUGCUCUGGACUUCCUAUUUCAGUGUGUGUAACCAGUGGCUACCGUAUAACAGCUUCCCACGCACCAUGGUAUCAAGUUCCAGUGCAAUUUAACAGGCUACGAGUUGGUUGUUUUACCAUCCAGACUGGACUCUCAGGUUUGACGGGUGGACAGUUCCAAUGUCUGCUGGUGCUUAAUGAUCCUCACCUUGACAAGUCUUCUGAUGGAGCCAAUGGUGAUGGCAGUGGGCUUGUCCUGGGUGGUGUGCUGUCCUGGCUGGUGGGUGAGCACAGUCUCACCCUCCUCCAGAACAACCCCAGGCCCCGUAAAGCCAGGCUCCAGCGCAACAUAGUUUGUGAAUGCCAGCCACCAACUGCUGAAAGCACACGCAAACAGUGCUGGGCCGCUGCCAUGGAAACCUGGCCUCACCUUCCUCUCCUUGGUGAUGAGGCUUGGGAUUCAAAGACCCCUGUCUCUCUCUCUCCCUCUCUCUCACACACACACAAACACAACACACACACUUCAAGUCUAUUUUCCACAGAGAUAGGUACACGUACACACACCCACACAACAGUUGCAAUGAUGAUUCAUAAGUGUUCCAGGAGAUGACACUUUGGCACUGUACUGGCGCAAAUGGAAAUCAAUCCUGCUCUCUCACUUUACAUUUUCCUUUGGCUGAAAUAUUCAGAGAGGCUUAAUACUCAUGCCCCUAAACUACACGUCCGCGGAACACAACAGGAGGCGGGGGGAGCACCAGCAGAAGCCUUCUGUCAUGCCAUAACGUGGCUACAGAGCUACCUUUUAACUUUCAGAGAGCUUGCAUAGAGUAAACAAACACUGAGGGAUUCUACAAUUACACCGGGAUAAUGUGUGCACAGCAAAUAUUUACAUAAGCAUCUGGUUUGUGCAUACAAGCGGGCAAGUGGUACACAGAAAUAAAAAAAGUAUUUUAUCAUUGAUUUCUUUGUAUUAAUCAAGAGAAGUCCGUCUAAAUGGACUCGGACAGACAGAAUUAUUGUAACAACAUGGAUGCCUCUUUCCCCCCGGUUCUAUUGUGCAAUGAGAGACAAAGAUCAAUACCUUCUAACAGGAUAGGUCUGGAGAUAAGUCUGGAGGCCUCACAGGAGGACAUUCACAAUAGGCAUUCAAAUAGAUUUUUGGCUCCUGCACAAGCAGACUCAAAUAUAAGCAAGAGCAGUUUGACAGUUUAAGGAAAAACUUGAGAAACAACUGUGUCCAGGCAGCUUCCCCUUAGUUUUAGAAGUGAACAAAAGAGGGGUGGUUUCAGUUGUUAGCAUAAUAAGUUUAUGGGCAAAGAGGAGACGGUCACAAUAUUGUGGCAAAGAGGUUAAUUUCCUUUCUAUGCUGGCUUCUGUGGACAGUGGAGAGAUUUAUAACCAGGUGGUCGGGGACGGUCUUGUUUUCCUUUCCUACUUUUGGGCUUGGGAAUGUCACACUGCGGUAAAUAAUUCUGUUCUGCCGUGUUUCUUCAUCUGUGUGUGUGUACUCGUGUGUCAGUGAUAUCCGCCAUUGUACAAAAAAGAGAGGCACAUCCAUAAAGCAUGAGAUAUUGCAUAAGGCCUCUUUAUAAACCUUAACUGGAGUUAGCCUGCAAUAGUGUAAAUCGUUCCACAGAAAAACAUGCAGGGGGGAACAGGUUAGCAAGAGGGUUUCUUUUUAUCCAUUAAAUAUGAGAACAAGUUUACGGCAUUGUCACAACACCUAAGCCCUCUAUGGUGAAUUUGACAACUACCAUAACAACUACCAUAUUUUUCGGAAAUAAAGCAGCGGUUUAUACCCUGAUUUUACAUUUUUCUUGUGGUGGUGAGGCUUAUAUUUUGAAGCGGUUAUAGAAAGUUUUUAUAACAAAACAGGCUUCAAAAUAUACUAAUGAAAAGGCUAACAAGUAAUACUAGCAUGGUAGUAGCAUUGCUACAAGUAUUAUGCUAGCUAACUUAGCCCGGAAGCUAACUAAAGCUAGCUAACUACCGAUUCGUAAAAAUAACUUACGCUUGGGGACCGUCUGAAAUAUUUAGAACUCAUAAUAAUAAGACUAUUUAUAUAGCACAUUUCAUACAAGAAUUGCAAAGCAUGAAUUAAUUAAAACAUGGUUCUAUUAUGUGUUGAGUUAGAUCGAGACUGUC